Molecule: non-coding RNA, 157 nt
Organism: Zootoca vivipara (common lizard)
Lineage: Eukaryota; Metazoa; Chordata; Lepidosauria; Squamata; Lacertidae
Product: small Cajal body-specific RNA 16
Source: RefSeq, a predicted model, not a curated record
UUGAAAUUCAUCUUCCUCCUGGCCCGAGUUCUUGCAAUUUACUGUUUAUUUCUAGAUGAAAACCUAGCACCCUCCUUUCUAGGGUCUGCCCUGCGCAGUAACAGGUGUUAGCAUUCUAGCAGCAGCUUGAUGGUCAUGUAUGAUACUGCAUACAGAU